RNAcentral lists this ribosomal RNA (481 nucleotides) under uncultured bacterium. RNAcentral's name for it is "partial 16S ribosomal RNA". It matches the Rfam family "Bacterial small subunit ribosomal RNA", at positions 28 to 507 of the family's 1533-position model. The record is from RNAcentral.
GAUGAACGCUGGCGGCGUGCUUAACACAUGCAAGUCGAACGAAGCACUUUAUUUGAUUUCCUUCGGGACUGAUUAUUUUGUGACUGAGUGGCGGACGGGUGAGUAACGCGUGGGUAACCUGCCUUGUACAGGGGGAUAACAGUUGGAAACGGCUGCUAAUACCGCAUAAGCGCACAGCAUCGCAUGAUGCAGUGUGAAAAACUCCGGUGGUAUAAGAUGGACCCGCGUUGGAUUAGCUAGUUGGUGAGGUAACGGCCCACCAAGGCGACGAUCCAUAGCCGAACUGAGAGGGUGACCGGCCACAUUGGGACUGAGACACGGCCCAAACUCCUACGGGAGGCAGCAGUGGGGAAUAUUGCACAAUGGGCGAAAGCCUGAUGCAGCGACGCCGCGUGAGCGAAGAAGUAUUUCGGUAUGUAAAGCUCUAUCAGCAGGGAAGAUAAUGACGGUACCUGACUAAGAAGCACCGGCUAAAUACGUG